CCACAAGCAAAGAGAGGUUUGGGCUCAAGAGAAAAACAGGGACAAUUCUUGUGUAUUUGAUCAACAAAGAGGCAAGGUUGGAGUUCCUCGGCAAUUGUUUGUAACAAAAAAUCCAUCUACUAUCCCUUAUGAAAUCACUAAGGCUGGGAUGAAGUUACCAUUAGGUGGAUACCUUUUUGGAUUAUGAUAAUUUAUCAAAGGGAAUUGUCUUUACUACAGAUCGG
Long non-coding RNA from Arachis stenosperma, 224 nucleotides. RefSeq lists it as uncharacterized. Lineage: Eukaryota; Viridiplantae; Streptophyta; Magnoliopsida; Fabales; Fabaceae. The record is from RefSeq and is a predicted model, not a curated record. The transcript is spliced from 4 exons.